RNAcentral lists this ribosomal RNA (465 nucleotides) under uncultured Klebsiella sp. Its description in RNAcentral is "bacterial SSU rRNA". It matches the Rfam family "Bacterial small subunit ribosomal RNA", at positions 338 to 795 of the family's 1533-position model. The record is from RNAcentral. Lineage: Bacteria; Pseudomonadati; Pseudomonadota; Gammaproteobacteria; Enterobacterales; Enterobacteriaceae.
CCUACGGGGGGCUGCAGUGGGGAAUAUUGCACAAUGGGCGCAAGCCUGAUGCAGCCAUGCCGCGUGUGUGAAGAAGGCCUUCGGGUUGUAAAGCACUUUCAGCGGGGAGGAAGGCGGCGAGGUUAAUAACCUCAUCGAUUGACGUUACCCGCAGAAGAAGCACCGGCUAACUCCGUGCCAGCAGCCGCGGUAAUACGGAGGGUGCAAGCGUUAAUCGGAAUUACUGGGCGUAAAGCGCACGCAGGCGGUCUGUCAAGUCGGAUGUGAAAUCCCCGGGCUCAACCUGGGAACUGCAUUCGAAACUGGCAGGCUAGAGUCGUGUAGAGGGGGGUAGAAUUCCAGGUGUAGCGGUGAAAUGCGUAGAGAUCUGGAGGAAUACCGGUGGCGAAGGCGGCCCCCUGGACAAAGACUGACGCUCAGGUGCGAAAGCGUGGGGAGCAAACAGGAUUAGAUACCCGAGUAGUC